This 894-nucleotide ribosomal RNA is filed under the name Triticum aestivum (bread wheat). Its description in RNAcentral is "partial small subunit ribosomal RNA". The record is from RNAcentral. Lineage: Eukaryota; Viridiplantae; Streptophyta; Magnoliopsida; Poales; Poaceae.
AUGUCCGGGCAACCCACAUCAGAGGCACACAACCUUGUUCGUGCAGUCCUUCAGGAAAACUCCUUGCGGCCGGGCGAAGGGCGCCGGGAAAUCUCCACCGACGGCCGCUCCUCGAGGCGGCGCUUCCAAAGCGUCCUCUUAGAUGCAGGCGCUUCCUGCCACGGCGAGAUCCGCCGCGACGGGCCACCCACAAGACCCUCCUCCGGCCGAGCCGCAGGGGCCCCGCCCCCAGCUGAGCUCUCCGACGCCGACGCCGACGCCGACGAGAGGCCAAGGCCAGAGACGGCCGGCCGCUGCUCGCCCUGGAAGGCCGAGGUGACGGAACAUGGAUUGGAUCCAUGGCGCGCACGGGGGAAGGGGGCACGCGGGAGAAGAGGAGCGCACCGUGCGCGGAAGAGCAGGGCGGAUGGCCGCCGGAGCCGGAGCGGCUGGCAGCGGUGUGGUGGACGCCGGCGUCGGAGUAACGCACGGCAGGGCGGCUGGGCUGCUCUCUCGCUGCGCUCGCCUUCACGUGUUAUCAGAUGCUGGGCCGGAUGUGAGCAACGCGAACCUCCCUCUCGUUCGUUGCCUCUCCUCCCCCAUCUUUUCCGCCGCCGCCCCUUGGCAGCAAGACCGCAAUGGCGCGGUGGGCGGUGCCCUUCCCCUGCUAAUCCGCCGGUCGGGUUCUCGGGCAAAGGGGGUAUGGUCGGUAGCAGCGCCAGGGUCGGCUGGUCGUCGGGCGGCAAGGGCGUCGCCAAGCAGUACUACCUCCAGGGCAGGAGCCCAGAGGCCGUGCCCCCGGUCGACGGCCGCCUCACCCUGGUCAGGAACAAGACCUUCGCCGUGUCCAAGUCCGGCCGGCUCUACCUGGCCUUCGAGCUCAGCACCGCCCGCCCGCAGCCGUACCUUAUCUAG